AGCCAGGUCCCACGCAAUGGUACAAUGCCCAACCCCGUCAGGUCCGGAAGGAAGCAGCGGUAAGCGUUUGUCCCAUGUGCCGUGGAUCAACCUGGCUUUC
This 100-nucleotide signal recognition particle RNA is filed under the name Caldithrix sp. RNAcentral's name for it is "signal recognition particle sRNA small type". It matches the Rfam family "Bacterial small signal recognition particle RNA". Rfam says of the family: The signal recognition particle (SRP) is a universally conserved ribonucleoprotein involved in the co-translational targeting of proteins to membranes. Archaeal SRP consists of a 7S RNA and homologues of the eukaryotic SRP19 and SRP54 proteins. Lineage: Bacteria; Pseudomonadati; Calditrichota; Calditrichia; Calditrichales; Calditrichaceae. The record is from RNAcentral. RNAcentral also lists the same sequence under 1 other name.